RNAcentral lists this ribosomal RNA (38 nucleotides) under Zymoseptoria tritici. RNAcentral describes it as "partial 28S ribosomal RNA". The record is from RNAcentral. RNAcentral also lists the same sequence under 1 other name. Lineage: Eukaryota; Fungi; Ascomycota; Dothideomycetes; Mycosphaerellales; Mycosphaerellaceae.
UUGACCUCGGAUCGGGUAGGGAUACCCGCUGAACUUAA